GAUACAUGCCUUUUCUUUUUAUGACCCAGUUGGGAGGGCAAGCUGGCACCUAUGCUGAGAAUUGAGAUGUCAGCAGUUUAGGAAAUGGCCAAAGCCCUCCUGCAGCACCAGUGACACGUAUCACCGCCCUGCUCCCCUUCUGCCACCCCACUGCGUCCACAGCAACAGCAGUCACGGGCUCAGGACGACAUAUGUGGCUCUCAGCCACCAGCGGAUGACAGAGUAGAGAUAGCAGAGACUCUGGUACAUACGGAAGAGGCGGCUCUCACCCGAAGCAGCCAACGAUGCCGCUGGGCUCUGCCUGCUCACGCUGGGGAGGAGCAGUCUUUGAGGAGUUUUUGAGUGAACACGCCAUAUGCCUGUUUCAUCACGAGUGCAAAUCAGCAGGAGGAAAAAGGAUGUCCUUAAAGUGACGUGAAGCCAUCAAAGGAGCUCUCAGGCCCCCCUUCAGAAGGCAAAGGGAAAAAAAAAAAAACAAAACACCUGAGCAAGUUCCUGACAUCAACAUCUGAAUCUUCCUCCUCUGAAUGCUGUAGAGAUGAAACGUUUCUCUGUCUGCUCUGAGCCUCAGUUUCUUUUUUUCUAAAAUGAGGACGAUGACGAUUCCAGCGUAGGCAACUUCGUCGGGUUGCUAUCUGGACCGCAGCAGGUACUGGAUGUGAAAGUACUCGGUAGGCGACGCAGCCCCAUGCACCUGACAGGGGCGGCCCACGUCAGGUCUCAGCCACGUUCUGGGUUGAGGUCUGUGUAGCCUCAACUAGGUCAUUCCUGGCUGGGCGAAGCAGCCCCCUGCAACGGCCCCUGAGUUUCCAGGACUGGAAAACAGAUGAAUUCCACGUGAUCCCUU
Molecule: long non-coding RNA, 847 nt
Filed under: Felis catus (domestic cat)
Lineage: Eukaryota; Metazoa; Chordata; Mammalia; Carnivora; Felidae
Description: lncRNA (ENSFCAG00000047880.1)
Source: RNAcentral